GACGAACGCUGGCGGCGUGCUUAACACAUGCAAGUCGAGCGGAAAGGCCCUGCUUUUGUGGGGUGCUCGAGUGGCGAACGGGUGAGUAACACGUGAGUAACCUGCCCUUGACUUUGGGAUAACUUCAGGAAACUGGGGCUAAUACCGGAUAGGAGCUCCUGCUGCAUGGUGGGGGUUGGAAAGUUUCGGCGGUUGGGGAUGGACUCGCGGCUUAUCAGCUUGUUGGUGGGGUAGUGGCUUACCAAGGCUUUGACGGGUAGCCGGCCUGAGAGGGUGACCGGCCACAUUGGGACUGAGAUACGGCCCAGACUCCUACGGGAGGCAGCAGUGGGGAAUAUUGCACAAUGGGCGGAAGCCUGAUGCAGCAACGCCGCGUGCGGGAUGGCGGCCUUCGGGUUGUAAACCGCUUUCGCCUGUGACGAAGCGUGAGUGACGGUAAUGGGUAAAGAAGCACCGGCUAACUACGUG
RNAcentral lists this ribosomal RNA (468 nucleotides) under uncultured bacterium. RNAcentral's name for it is "partial 16S ribosomal RNA". It matches the Rfam family "Bacterial small subunit ribosomal RNA", at positions 28 to 507 of the family's 1533-position model. The record is from RNAcentral.